AGUGAACGCUGGCGGCAGGCCUAAUACAUGCAAGUCGAACGGCAGCACAGUGGAGCUUGCUCCAUGGGUGGCGAGUGGCGGACGGGUGAGGAAUACAUGGGAAUCUGCCCAGUCGUGGGGAUAACGUAUGGAAACGUACGCUAAUACCGCAUGCGCCCUUCGGGGGAAAGUCGGGGACCGCAAGGCCUGACGCGAUUGGAUGAGCCCAUGUUCGAUUAGCUAGUUGGCGGGUAACGGCCCACCAAGGCGACGAUCGAUAGCUGGUCUGAGAGGAUGAUCAGCCACACUGGAACUGAGACACGGUCCAGACUCCUACGGGAGCAGCAGUAGGGAAUAUUGGACAAUGGGGGCAACCCUGAUCCAGCCAUGCCGCGUGAGUGAAGAAGGCCCUCGGUUGUAAAGCUACUUUGUUGGGGAAGAAAAGCAGUUGGUUAAUACCCGAUUG
This 445-nucleotide ribosomal RNA is filed under the name uncultured bacterium. Its description in RNAcentral is "bacterial SSU rRNA". It matches the Rfam family "Bacterial small subunit ribosomal RNA", at positions 29 to 471 of the family's 1533-position model. The record is from RNAcentral.